RNAcentral lists this ribosomal RNA (448 nucleotides) under uncultured bacterium. Its description in RNAcentral is "bacterial SSU rRNA". It matches the Rfam family "Bacterial small subunit ribosomal RNA", at positions 330 to 794 of the family's 1533-position model. The record is from RNAcentral.
UCCAGACUCCUACGGGAGGCAGCAGUGGGGGAUAUUGCACAAUGGGGGAAACCCUGAUGCAGCGACGCCGCGUGAGUGAAGAAGUAUUUCGGUAUGUAAAGCUCUCUCAGCAGGGAAGAAGCAAGACGGUACCUGACUAAGAAGCCCCGGCUAACUACGUGCCAGCAGCCGCGGUAAUACGUAGGGGGCGAGCGUUAUCCGGAUUCACUGGGUGUAAAGGGAGCGUAGACGGCCAUGCAAGCCAGGGGUGAAAGCCCGGGGCCCAACCCCGGGACUGCCCUUGGAACUGCAUGGCUGGAGUGCGGGAGGGGCAGGCGGAAUUCCUAGUGUAGCGGUGAAAUGCGUAGAUAUUAGGAGGAACACCAGUGGCGAAGGCGGCCUACUGGACGGUGACUGACGCUGAGGCUCGAAAGCGUGGGGAGCAAACAGGAUUAGAUACCCGUGUACA